CACUAUUAUCACCUAAAAUCUGCUGAGAUCUUAUUACAGUUAUACAAUUAUAUAAUUAGCAGACUUUAACCAAGUCAAAUUUGAUGGUCCCAACCCAGAACAUAUUUAGUGACUGAGAUAUUGUGUAUUUUUUAUUUUCUGACAAACAAAAUUCAAAAAAAGGAAAAUCUUACAGGCAGUGAGAGAAGGACUCGCAGCUUUGGGCCCAACGGCUCAGACUUGAGAGGAGAGUGGGAGGGAAAAAAUGCUUGCUAAGCUAUCCGUUUCACACAUGCAGGGACAGAAGGUUCGAUAUUCAUUCGAUCGAUGAAUGAAAAGGCACAAUGGCAAAAUCGGACAGGCUCCUUUUCAAAUCCACGUCUCCGAUGUCCCCCCGCCACCCCUUCCACAGUCUGCAGUGGCUGAGCGGCCGGUGUGGCAGGCAGAGAGAGAAAGAGAGAGAGGAGAGCAAGGGUUACAUCAAGGCUGCUCCCUGGACCGUGCAAACAAGUCUAGACCAGUGACCUGUUCAAUGGCUCCUUUUGAGGUGUGGGGCAAGUUCGGUCAGAGCGAGGAGAAAGGCACGGCACUGCCUCUUUUCAGCACCCGAGCAGCUCACAGCCCUGCGAUCGACAGGAGAGGCAAACUAAAAGUCAGUCCAGCUGAAAAUCAACCAUUUCCCAGAAAAAGUUGUUUCUGUGACGGAUGGACCUUGACCGUAAAUUCCUGACAUUUCCUGAAGCAUGUCUGAUCAUCCUUUGAUCAGGUGGACAACGGGAUAAUCACACGUUUAUCCAACUGCACAGAUUCCACGUCAGUAUAUUUGUGUAUUUAUAUGAAACUGAGCAUUAGUAAGAGAUUUCUGAGUUUUAAUGUAUUGACUGUCUUUAUUCACAGAGCCCCACGGCAGUUCACUGUCCUCUCUUUGGGCUCAGAGGUAAGACCACAAACCUCAUAUGUUCAAUAAUAAGCCCUGCUCCUUAUGUUCUAGUCAGUGUUGCUAUCGUACGGUAGCUCCAACAACUGCUUUGUUUUGACUAGCAGUGAGACGAGUGAGUCAGUGGAAGUGUCAGAGCACCAAAACAGACGGACACCCCACAUAAUUAGCCUGGAGUCAUUUGGAAGCAGCUCAGCUCUGCCCAUGUGCCCACCACCGUGUUCAGAAACAGAGCAGACGACCUUCUACUCGACUCCGUCCCACUGCAGUCACUUAAAAGAGUGAUGAAUGUUUCCCUCUGCCCCCAUCCCCCUCACCCCCACCCUCUCCAGUUGCCUUAUUUGUCCCUGUCUCUCCUCCUUGGUGCUUCUUCACCCUCCCAUUCUCCUUUCUUGCAGCAGUGAGAAAGUUAGGGAGGAAGGAUGAUGUGUAAAGGUGGAUGAGGAAACACAAAGGUGGAGAGGGUGAUUUGAAGUGGGGGAGGCGUUUCCAGCCAGGAAGAGAGAAUCAGAGUAGCUUCCCUCACCAUCUCUUUCCACUGCUCAUUAGUAUGUGCCGGCCGUCGCUCAGGUGACACAGCCGCUGGAUUCAGUCCCAACUGCAGAGACAUCAGCGGGAUAGCAGGUAAGGACAAUGAGAGGAAGGGUGGAGAAGCAGGGAAGAGCGUGGGGGGGGGGUACUCUGAUACACAAACACACGAUUAAAGUGCUAAGUUUUAAAGCUAAACCUUGUUCUCCAAAUAUCUCAGUCUUUAACACACUGCAUGCAGUCUAUAAACCACGAGGCCCAAAUACAACACAAUAUUGCUCCAAUGUUAAUUGCAGCUUUUCAAAAAAUGUAGUAAUUUGAGUUUCUACAGGUUGUGUUGUAAAAUAUUGAUCUUAAUAAUAAAAAAUCUCUGCUGGAUUUGUUCGCUGUGUGU
Gouania willdenowi (blunt-snouted clingfish) is the source of this 1838-nucleotide long non-coding RNA. NCBI's taxonomy places the organism in Eukaryota, Metazoa, Chordata, Actinopteri, Blenniiformes, Gobiesocidae. The record is from Ensembl.